This is a long non-coding RNA of Talpa occidentalis (Iberian mole), 321 nucleotides long. RefSeq lists it as uncharacterized. The transcript has 3 exons. Lineage: Eukaryota; Metazoa; Chordata; Mammalia; Eulipotyphla; Talpidae. The record is from RefSeq and is a predicted model, not a curated record.
GUAUUCCCAGUAGAUGUACUGCGGAGACUCCCUCACCUGGCACAGACAUAAAGUCUAAACGUAUCUACGAAUAAGACGUAAAGUAACUUCAUAUAGCCUCUCUGAAGAGGUCUUCAAAAGCUGGUCAAACAAAUUGUCACAAAUUCUGCCAUCUCUAUAACACGACAGUUAGGUGGAAGAUACAGUCAAUGAAACAAAGAAGGGAGCCAUGAGUUCUGGGAGAAAUCUGAGGGUAGACCUGACACCUCCUGCCUUUCGGAAUGAAAACUUGUUAUCUCGAUGAUUAGUUCCUGUGCUGAUUAUUCAAAAUAAAAUGAUUAA